CACUUGUCAUCACCUCUCGCCCUGUGGCUGCCAUAUAUGGUUGACGGCGCUCUGCACCUUGCAGAGGGAACUCAGGAUCUCUCAAGACUGGGCAGGUAGAUGCUAAUCUGCAGAAAUUAUGAACACAUUCUGCAAUGAGAAUCCCUCUUUCAGCCAUCAUCCAGAGACAGAACUGUUCACUUUCCUCUGGAUUUGCCAGUGGGAUCAAGGAAACACAAUAAAUUCUUUCUUUGUUUCUCUUUACCUUCAAAAUUUUAUUUUGUGUAUUUGUUUUACUAUUUGUAUUGAGUUGCUCAUUUCUGACACGUCUGCUAGCAAGGAAUGAAUAAAUAAAGCCAAAUGAGCUGAA
Molecule: non-coding RNA, 349 nt
Organism: Lonchura striata (white-rumped munia)
Lineage: Eukaryota; Metazoa; Chordata; Aves; Passeriformes; Estrildidae
Source: RefSeq, a predicted model, not a curated record